Molecule: long non-coding RNA, 786 nt
Organism: Oncorhynchus tshawytscha (Chinook salmon)
Lineage: Eukaryota; Metazoa; Chordata; Actinopteri; Salmoniformes; Salmonidae
Source: Ensembl
CUGAAGGGUAGUGUUGACUGAAAGGUAGUGUUGACUGAAAGGUAGUGUUGACUGAACGGUAGUGUUGACUGAAAGGUAGUGUUGACUGAACGGUAGUGUUGACUGAACGGUAGUGUUGACUGAAAGGUAGUGUUGACUGAACGGUAGUGUUGACUGAAAGGUAGUGUUGACUGAAAGGUGCUGUUGAGUAAUAAGACAAGCUUAUGGCCAAGGUUGUGUCUGGAAUGCCUGAGUAUACAGGCUGAGUAAACAUUAACCUGGACCAAAUACUUAUUACGUAAACAAUGACUGCCGAAGCACACACCGACAAGGACACAAACACAUGUCUUAGUUCACAAUAUAUGUCACGUGUACUCCCUCUCCGGCCUCUAGGUCAUCGGGCUGCUGAUUAUUCCGCACACCUGUCACCAUCGUCUCACUUCACCUGCGCCUCAUGACACUCAUGAGUGAAAUACCAAGAGUGUGCCAAGCUGUCAUCAAGGCAAAGGGUGGCUACUUUGAAGAAUCUCAAAUAUAAACAAUAUAUUUAGAUUUGUUUAACACUUUUUCUGGUCACUACAUGAUUCCAUAUGUGUUAUUUCAUAGUUCUGAUGUCUUCACUAUUAUUCUACAAUGUAGAACAUAGUAAAAAAAUAAAGAAAAACCCUUGAAUGAGUAGGUGUGUCCCAAUCUUUGACUGAUACUGUAAAAGUAAUUGAUUUGGGUUUGAGAUAAACCUACUGUAGUUUUAAUCAUACGUAUCCUUACAAUCUUCACAUGGCAUUUACAUAAAAUGUAUAAAAUGAC